UCCCUGAUGGCCUAGUGGUUAGGAUUUGGCACUUUCACUGCAGAGGCUGGGGUUCAAUUCCUUGUUGGGGAA
RNAcentral lists this transfer RNA (72 nucleotides) under Ovis aries (sheep). It matches the Rfam family "tRNA". Rfam says of the family: Transfer RNA (tRNA) molecules are approximately 80 nucleotides in length. Their secondary structure includes four short double-helical elements and three loops (D, anti-codon, and T loops). The record is from Rfam by way of RNAcentral. Lineage: Eukaryota; Metazoa; Chordata; Mammalia; Artiodactyla; Bovidae. RNAcentral also lists the same sequence under 2 other names.